AUGGAAAAAAAAAAAACCCUCCUUCCUCCAGAAAGGUCACCGGCAGAUGCGAGCGCGUUGCGGCCGCCUCACACCCACUCGCCUCCCCCCACGGGGCGCAGCGCCCGUCUCGGUGCUCGCAUCUCCGCCCUCGCGGCUCGCUGGGCUUGGAGGGGCUCCAAGAGCAGCCGGGGCAGGCUGCAGCGUUGCUUCGUGCUGACUUACCCUGAAAACCUUCCCCCAGAAGGAGCACAAAGCUCGGGGCUGAGCCCCGUCUCCGCUCCCUGCUCGCUCCCUCUCGCUCCAGCGCAGAGGCACAGUGCAGGUCCUGCACAAAACUCCGCUUUAUUAAAAAUUACUGCAGGGAGAGAGAGGGGAUGGGGCCGUUCCUUGCACGAAGGGGGAAGGAAUCUGCUGCUGGUGCCCCGAAAUCGUGCCCUGAGCACAUCCCUUAGCACACGGGGCAUGGCAUGGCCCCCAAAUGUUGUCCCCCUUCAAGGCGAACGCCUCAAAUGGCACAAAAGUGGGGUCUGGAGAGGGCACGGCCCUGCUGGGGAUGGGACAACCCCACAGGACAACCUGCCUGGCCGCACAGGGCUCCAAAUGCAGUGGGACCCUGCGUCUCCCUGCUCCCGCAGUGCCACCGAGGGGCUCAGGGUCCCAGGCGCUGACUCGCCCCAGCCACCCCCGUGCUGCGUCCCCUGGGGAGAGGCUCCCAAGGUCCAGACAGAUGGGCAGGGGGCGAGGAGCCGCUUUCAGCUGCUUUUUUGUUCUCCCUCUGCGCAUCCCACGGGGAGAGCUGUCCCCGUCCCCGUCCCCAUCCCUGUCCCCAUCCGGGCCCCUCCGCCGCGGCUGCCCGGCUCCGACGCUCUCAUUUACGACCUGUUGGGGGAUAAAAGGGGCUUGUUGGCGGCGGCGAGCAACUGGUGUGCGGGGACAACUGUUGCCAUCUGUCUGCUGGGGCGGUGGGGGGGGGGCCACUGCUGGGGCUGGGUUUUGUUUCCCCUUUCAUGCACCACUAAACUUUGCACCUUUUGUUUCCCAGCGAAGGGUUUGAGAGAGCCAGGGAGAAAAGGAGGCCUCCCCGCGCCGCGCAGGUCAGGGCAGAGCUCGCUCAGCUCGCCGGGGGAUUUGCAUACGAUUCUUAUUAAAUAUUAUAAUAGUAAUUACUGUUAUUUCAGGAGUCUGUCAGCAUUGGGCAACCUGAACCCCUCCGUCCUCCCCCUGCACCCUGGAGGCGUCCUGGCACGUCCUGUGCCGCCGCGCUGUGGGUGGCAUCUGAUGGUAGCGGGGCACAAACCUUGGGGACAGGAGGCUGUGUGCCCCUCGAGCAGCAGCAGUGCCCUGUAA
This 1329-nucleotide long non-coding RNA is filed under the name Anser brachyrhynchus (Pink-footed goose). RNAcentral describes it as "lncRNA (ENSABRG00000000895.1)". Lineage: Eukaryota; Metazoa; Chordata; Aves; Anseriformes; Anatidae. The record is from RNAcentral.